RNAcentral lists this ribosomal RNA (460 nucleotides) under uncultured bacterium. RNAcentral describes it as "SSU rRNA". It matches the Rfam family "Bacterial small subunit ribosomal RNA", at positions 26 to 518 of the family's 1533-position model. The record is from RNAcentral.
AGGAUAAACGCUGGCGGCGUGCCUAACACAUGCAAGUCGAACGUCCUACGCAAGUAGGGAGUGGCGGACGGGUGAGGAACACGUGGGGAUCUACCCUGUAGUUCGGAAUACCGGCGAGAAAUCACCGACAAAUACCGGAUAGCCUUCUCACGAAGGAAAGCUCGCAAGGGCGCUAGAGGAUGAACCUGCGGCUGAUUAGCUUGUUGGUGAGGUAAAGGCUCACCAAGGCCACGAUCAGUAGCUGGUCUGAGAGGACGAUCAGCCACACUGGGAUUGAGAACGGCCCAGACUCCUACGGGGGGCAGCAGUGAGGAAUUUUCGUCAAUGGGGGCAACCCUGAACGAGCAACGCCGCGUGCAGGAUGAAGGCCUUCGGGUCGUAAACUGUCUUUUCUUUGGGACGAGCAAAGGACGGUACCGAGAGGAACCAAGCCCCGGACUAACUACGUGCCAGCAGCCGC